Molecule: long non-coding RNA, 1260 nt
Organism: Vicia villosa (hairy vetch)
Lineage: Eukaryota; Viridiplantae; Streptophyta; Magnoliopsida; Fabales; Fabaceae
Exons: 3
Source: RefSeq, a predicted model, not a curated record
AUUUAACAGGAAUGAGUUCAUCAUUUUUAUUUUCCCUUAUCAUAUAAUCAGAGUCUUGGAGAACAUGGAGAGGGCACUCUAUUAAAGAGCACUUUAUACAAAUAUUAGACGUGGGUUUUUAUUUGUUUGCUCUAUUCAUCUUGUGGCAGUAAAUUCAUGCAUAGUCUCCAUGAAUCUGAUGCACAAAAAGCCAGAUCAUCCUAGUCAUACAAAAAUCCAGCAGCCAAAUGUUCCAAAAUCAACUUGUCCCACAUGAUACCUAUUUUUAGUGGUGUUUGAAGCUUCCUAUUAGAAGCCUCAACGUAAGGGUAUGAACAAAAGCAUGUGUUCAAAGAAUUUGGUGCAGUCAAACAUGGAAACUAAAGAAGGUAAAGCCAACUCAUGUUGACAUUGACUUGGAAAAAAGAAUAUUUGAUGGUUGGUUUUCAAACCAAUAGAGUUAGAUGGCAAUUCGAUGUACUAGCAGCCAAUAAAAACAUUGAUUCACCAAACUUUUCAUCGAGGGGCAUAUGACGCAUCAAGUCAAGCGCGAACACCGGAUACGACACAUAACAUGUGAACAAUGGUCAUCAUCAUUUAAGAAAAUAAAGUGAUUGAAUGUAACAAUAUGUGUGUCAAUGUGACACAUUUGAUCCGUGUCAGACAACAAAUAGUGUUACGUGUCAGACAACAAAUAAUGUUACGUAAGACACCUGACAUGCCUUUAAUGUGAAAGGUGUCAGACGACAAAUAGUGUUACGUAUUGUGUAAGACACCAGACAUGCCUUUAAUGUGAAAUGUCGGUGCUAAAUAUCAAAAUUAAAACUGAUGAGAAAAUACCUGUGAGUAUAAGAAGGUUCCAAAGACGGCAAUUGCGGCUCCGAGAGCAUUGACAGGCUGAAUUGGUGUGUGGAAGAUGAUAAUUGAAGAUACGAUGACAGAUAUACGUUUCAUGGUGUUUCCAAUGCUAAAUGUCAAAGGAGAGAUCUCAUCCAACGACAUGUAAGACACCUGAUUGUAUAGAUGAUAGAAUAUACUCUGAGCUGCCACCCACCUGUUGCGUACAUUUACCAGUCAUAGUUUAGUCAUAACAUCGAGAGGUUGUGCUUUCCGAACAAAACGAUAAACAUAGGUGAAUAAACAGAUUACUCGAUCAGAAAAACAAACAAACUCGGUUUUGUCACAAAAGAAGAUUUUUCAUGUAUAAUAUAGCAUUGAUUCUGUCAUAGUCACAAAAUAAAAAUUGAACUAUGUAGUUCUUUCAGUCCAUUCGACCUUUCA